GGAGUUAUGGCUCAGUGGUCGAGAAUUUGACUGCAGAUCCAAAGGUCCCCAGUUCAAAUUGGGCUGCUCCU
RNAcentral lists this transfer RNA (71 nucleotides) under Xenopus laevis (African clawed frog). It matches the Rfam family "tRNA". Rfam says of the family: Transfer RNA (tRNA) molecules are approximately 80 nucleotides in length. The record is from Rfam by way of RNAcentral. Lineage: Eukaryota; Metazoa; Chordata; Amphibia; Anura; Pipidae.